UUACUACCACCUUCAAAUGGGGGUUGCGUUUAGGCCGUGAAAUUUAGUUUUACUAGGUAGUAAA
RNAcentral lists this transfer RNA (64 nucleotides) under Macoma balthica. RNAcentral describes it as "Limecola balthica tRNA-Leu". Lineage: Eukaryota; Metazoa; Mollusca; Bivalvia; Cardiida; Tellinidae. The record is from RNAcentral.